UAUAUUUCCAGUAGUUUUAUUAUUUUUGUAGAACUGAUUUGUACAAUUUUUAUGCUAACAAGACAUUUGAUAUUACCGAGCUCUAGUAUUGCAGAAUUAUUUUUGCUAUAUAUUAACAUAGUUGAGCUUGGUCAUAAUUGCUAUUCCUGCUAUGUUUGUAAGUAAAAACUUUAUGUCUCUAGUCUUUUUAAAAUCCUUUCUUCUCACUGUUUCUGUGAGAUGUCUUAUAAUUCGUUUAAUCAGACUCGGAAUAUGCAUAUCUACAAUCACUAUGUUAUGCUAUAUGUUUUUAGAAUCGCAGAAGAUUGGCAGCUUUAAUGGACAAACUACUUGUUUUGGUCUGAAAAGAGGUGCAUGGACGGGAACCUCUUUAUCCCUCAAACUUUCUAGCCUUGGGAUCAAAGAUUUGACACAACCACUUAGCAUUCUUAGGUAAUACCCUCCUCUAGAAUUCAAAGAAUCUUAUUACUAGUUUUAGUUCAUAUCACAUCAUCGUGCAAGUAUAUAUCCAAGAUCAAGCUUCUAAUUCAAUAGAUAACAAUGCCUGCAGAAUUUACAAUGGAUGGCAACUCUUUAAUUUAAGUGAAUCCAGUUUUUAUGCUUCUAUUAUGCAGGUAGAUCGAGCUUCCAACAUUUUCAUUUUUAUGUGAUGUUUACUUGUACAUAUCAG
Molecule: long non-coding RNA, 670 nt
Filed under: Olea europaea subsp. europaea
Lineage: Eukaryota; Viridiplantae; Streptophyta; Magnoliopsida; Lamiales; Oleaceae
Source: RNAcentral